GAAAGGAUCAUUAAUGAAUUUUGGAGUUCUACUGUGCCUGCCGUUCAUUCGGAUGUGUGCACGUAGUCUCUAUAAAUCCUUAUCAACACCUGUGCACCUUUAAAAAGGGGGGAGUCUGAUUAAGCAUUUUAUGAUGCUUAUGACGAAUAACCUCUUUUCUUAUACAAACUCUUUUAAUGUCUAUUAGAAUGUUCUCUGGCCGCAAGGCUAUAAAAUAUAAACAACUUUUAACAACGGAUCUCUUGGCUCUCGCAUCGAUGAAGAACGCAGCGAAAUGCGAUAAGUAAUGUGAAUUGCAGAAUUCAGUGAAUCAUCGAAUCUUUGAACGCACCUUGCACUCCUUGGUAUUCCGAGGAGUACGCCUGUUCGAGUGUUAUGAAGCUCUCAAAACGCAAUUGGCUUAAAACCUGAUUGUUGUUUUGGAUUUGAACUUUGCCGUGUUACAACGGCUGGUUUUAAAAGCAUUAGCUGGUACUAGAACGAAUUGGUUCUACUCAACGUGGAUAAUUAUCUGAUCGUUGAGGACAUUCCUUUCACGAGGAAUGGCCAUAGUAAAUUCAAUGGACUGCUUCUAACUUGGCUUUAAUUCUUAAUUGGAUUAACCACUUUUCAAAUCUGACCUCGAAUCAGGUGGGACUACCCGCUGAACUUAAGCAUAUCAAUAAGCGGAGGAAAAGAAACUAACAAGGAUUCCCCUAGUAACGGCGAGUGAAGCGGGAUGAGCUCAAAUUUAAAAUCUGAUAGUCUUUGGCUGUCCGAGUUGUAAUCUAGAGAAGUGUUUUCCGCGUUGGACCAUGUACAAGUUUCCUGGAACGGAACGUCAUAGAGGGUGAGAAUCCCGUCCUUGACAUGGACUACCAGUGCUUUGUGAUACACUCUCAACGAGUCGAGUUGUUUGGGAUUGCAGCUCAAAAUGGGAGGUAAAUUCCUUCUAAAGCUAAAUAUUGGCGAGAGACCGAUAGCGAACAAGUACCGUGAGGGAAAGAUGAAAAGCACUUUGGAAAGAGAGUUAAACAGUACGUGAAAUUGUUAAAAGGGAAACGAUUGAAGUCAGUCGCGUUUGCUUGGACUCAGCCUUACCUCGGUUUGGUGCAUUUCCUUGUGAACGGGCCAGCGUCAAUGUUGUUCGUUGGAAAAGGGUUAGAGAAAUGUGGCUCUUUCGGGAGUGUUAUAGUCUCUGAUCGUAUACAACGGCUGAUAUUGAGUGGUACAGCAUGCUUCGGCGGUGCUUGUGCUGGCAUAAUGGCUUUAAACGACCCGUCUUGAAACACGGACCAAGGAGUCUAACAUGUCUGCGAGUGUUUGGGUGGAAAACCCGAGCGCGUAAUGAAAGUGAUAGCUGGGAAACCUUUACCGGUAGCACCGGCGCCCCGAGUUGAACUUCUGUGACGCAUCGGAGGUAGAGCAUAUAUGUUGGGACCCGAAAGAUGGUGAACUAUGCCUGAAUAGGGCGAAGCCAGAGGAAACUCUGGUGGAGGCUCGUAGCGAUUCUGACGUGCAAAUCGAUCGUCAAAUUUGGGUAUAGGGGCGAAAGACUAAUCGAACCAUCUAGUAGCUGGUUCCUGC
This 1566-nucleotide unclassified non-coding RNA is filed under the name uncultured fungus. RNAcentral's name for it is "sequence contains 18S rRNA gene, ITS1, 5.8S rRNA gene, ITS2, 28S rRNA gene". The stretch from base 617 to 1566 matches the Rfam family "Eukaryotic large subunit ribosomal RNA", at positions 1 to 961 of the family's 3401-position model. Lineage: Eukaryota; Fungi. The record is from RNAcentral.